GAUGAUAGUGUUGUAACUAUGUGACUAACAAGGAUGAUAGCAUUGUAACUAUGUGACUAACAAGGAUGAUAGCAUUGUAACUAUGUGACUAACAAGGAUGAUAGCGUUGUAACUAUGCGACUAACAAGGAUGAUAGCAUUGUAACUAUGUGACUAACAAGGAUGAUAGUGUUGUAACUAUGUGACUAACAAGGAUGAUAGCAUUGUAACUAUGUGACUAACAAGGAUGAUAGCAUUGUAACUAUGUGACUAACAAGGAUGAUAGCGUUGUAACUAUGUGACUAACAAGGAUGAUAGCAUUGUAACUAUGUGACUAACAAGGAUGAUAGCGUUGUAACUAUGCGACUAACAAGGAUGAUAGCAUUGUAACUAUGUGACUAACAAGGAUGAUAGCAUUGUAACUAUGUGACUAACAAGGAUGAUAGCGUUGUAACUAUGCGACUAACAAGGAUGAUAGCAUUGUAACUAUGUGACUAACAAGGAUGAUAGCGUUGUAACUAUGUGACUAACAAGGAUGAUAGCGUUGUAACUAUGUGACUAACAAGGAUGAUAGUGUUGUAACUAUGUGACUAACAAGGAUGAUAGCGUUGUAACUAUGUGACUAACAAGGAUGAUAGCGUUGUAACUAUGUGACUAACAAGGAUGUUAGCGUUGUAACUAUGUGACUAACAAGGAUGAUAGUGUUGUAACUAUGUGACUAACAAGGAUGAUAGCGUUGUAACUAUGUGACUAACAAGGAUGAUAGCGUUGUAACUAUGUGACUAACAAGGAUGAUAGUGUUGUAACUAUGUGACUAACAAGGAUAAUAGCGUUGUAACUAUGUGACUAACAAGGAUGAUAGCGUUGUAACUGUGACUAACAAGGAUGAUAGUGUUGUAAUUGUGACUAACAAGGAUGAUAGUGUUGUAACUGUGACUAACAAGGAUGAUAGUGUUGUAACUGUGACUAACAAGGAUGAUAGUGUUGUAAUUAUGUGGCGGUAAAGUUGCUAGGGAUAGCACCUUGGAGUUGUUGUGACAUCACUAUGACACACAAUUUCAGUGUGACAGCCAGCAAACGCAAUGACAUUUCCUACCUGCAUGUUAUCUGUCUACUUUCUGAUUAAAACACACUCUCCGAGGUUGAAUGAACUCUCCCACCAGCCCUAAGAACUGCUGUGUGUGUGUGUGUGUGUGUGUGUGUGUGUGUGUGUGUGUGUGUGUGUGUGUGUGUGUGUGUGUGUGUGUGUGUGUGUGUGUGUGUGUGUGUGUGUGUGUGUGUGUGUGUGUGUGUGUGUGUGUGUGUGCAGUCCUUGACUGCGGUGGACUCAUGCUGAUGAGCAGUGCUGCCAGGUCCUUUGUGCUCCUCAGACGGGGGGAUAAUUGUUUUGUUCACUGCACAGCAUCUCUUUGAAGUCCUCAUUCAAUUUAUGUCUUCAGAGAUGUUCCCUCAUUCAAAGGAAGGGGUUGAGGGGAUUUUUCAGGCCCCUGUGUUGUAAUUGCAUAGCAACCUACUAAACCAUACAGAAUAUACAUAAUGUACAUAUAUAACAAGGCUAGCUAGGCAUCCCUGGUGCAGGAGUUCCAGAAGCAAGGUGUUUUUCCAGCCAUGCAGCACACCUGACUGUACUUAGCAUCUAACACACUGAGCUAAUUGAUCCAUUUCACUGAUUGAUACAUGCUCCCUCACUGCCACCCUCCAGGGUGUCCUACUGAUGAUUUCUUCAAACCUGGUCUUGGGGAAAUACAGUGUGUGUGUGCAGGCUUUUGUUCUACCACAGCACUAACACACCUGGUUCAAGCAAUCAAGCUUGAUUUGUUGAAUGGUGUGUGUUAAAAUGUGAUUUUAUAUGGCAGAGGCAGAGGCGGUGACUGUGACUCCUCCCAGGUCUCUCCUCUGACUCUCUAAGGACAGGUCUGUGUGGAUGAAUAGUAUUGGGCUGUGGAGGCUGACUCUCUCUACGAACAGGUCUGUGUGGAUGAAUAGUAUUGGGCUGUGGAGGCUGACUCUCUCUACGGACAGGUCUGUGUGGAUGAAUAGUAUUGGGCUGUGGAGGCUGAUUCUCUCUAAGGACAGGUCUGUGUGGAUGAAUAUUACUGGGCUGUGGAGGCUGACUCUCUCUACGAACAGGUCUGUGUGGAUGAAUAGUAUUGGGCUGUGGAGGCUGACUCUCUCUACGGACAGGUCUGUGUGGAUGAAUAGUAUUGGGCUGUGGAGGCUGGCUCUCUCUACGAACAGGUCUGUGUGGAUGAAUAGUAUUGGGCUGUGGAGGCUGACUCUCCCUAAGGACAGGUCUGUGUGGAUGAAUAGUAUUGGGCUGUGGAGGCUGACUCUCUCUACGGACAGGUCUGUGUGGAUGAAUAGUAUUGGGCUGUGGAGGCUGACUCUCCCUAAGGACAGGUCUGUGUGGAUGAAUAGUAUUGGGCUGAGGAGGCUGACUCUCUCUACGGACAGGUCUGUGUGGAUGAAUAGUAUUGGGCUGUGGAGGCUAACUCUCCCUAAGGACAGGUCUGUGUGGAUGAAUAGUAUUGGGCUGUGGAGGCUAACUCUCCCUAAGGACAGGUCUGUGUGGAUGAAUAGUAUUGGGCUGUGGAGGCUGACUCUCCCUAAGGACAGGUCUGUGUGGAUGAAUAGUAUUGGGCUGUGGAGGCUAACUCUCCCUAAGGACAGGUCUGUGUGGAUGAAUAGUAUUGGGCUGAGGAGGCUGACUAUCCCUAAGGACAGGUCUGUGUGGAUGAAUAGUAUUGGGCUGUGGAGGCUGACUCUCCCUAAGGACAGGUCUGUGUGGAUGAAUAGUAUUGGGCUGUGGAGGCUGACUCUCCCUAAGGACAGGUCUCUGUGUGGAUGAAUAGUAUUGGGCUGUGGAGGCUGACUCUCCCUAAGGACAGGUCUGUGUGGAUGAAUAGUAUUGGGCUGUGGAGGCUGACUCUUCCUAAGGACAGGUCUCUGUGGAUGAAUAGUAUUGGGCUGUGGAGGCUGACUCUCCUUAAGGACAGGUCUGUGUGGAUGAAUAGUAUUGGGCUGUGGAGGCUGACUCUCCCUAAGGACAGGUCUGUGUGGAUGAAUAGUAUUGGGCUGAGGAGGCUGACUCUACGUAAGGAGAGGUCUGUGUGAAUGAAUAGUAUUGGGCUGAGGAGGCUGACUCUACGUAAGGAGAGGUCUGUGUGAAUGAAUAGUAUUGGGCUGAGGAGGCUGACUCUCCCUAAGGACAGGUCUGUGUGGAUGAAUAGUAUUGGGCUGUGGAGGCUAACUCUCUCUAAGGACAGGUCUGUGUGGAUGAAUAGUAUUGGGCUGAGGAGGCUGACUCUCUCUAAGGACAGGUCUGUGUGGAUGAAUAGUAUUGGGCUGAGGAGGCUGACUCUACGUAAGGACAGUGUGUGACUGACUGUAUGUGAGCAAAUGUGUGUGUGGAGGGACAGAGAGAGUAAGGACUGUUGUACUCUCCAGGGGAAGAGAAAAACAGAGGAGUGAGUUGAAAGAAGACAUUGUCUUUGUGUUGAGGAAGAGAGAUAGAGACUGAGAACGAGAGAGAGGAAGAUAGAGGGAGAUGGGGAAGAGGCCGGGUAGAUCUGCUGCCUGACUUGCUAAAGUGUAACUGUGUGUGUGUGUGUGUUCUC
This is an RNA transcript of Oncorhynchus keta (chum salmon), 3595 nucleotides long. RefSeq lists it as uncharacterized. NCBI's taxonomy places the organism in Eukaryota, Metazoa, Chordata, Actinopteri, Salmoniformes, Salmonidae. The transcript has 2 exons. The record is from RefSeq and is a predicted model, not a curated record.